RNAcentral lists this ribosomal RNA (217 nucleotides) under uncultured fungus. Its description in RNAcentral is "partial small subunit ribosomal RNA". The record is from RNAcentral. Lineage: Eukaryota; Fungi.
GGCUUGGCGGUGCGGUCGGCCCCGUGUGGGUCAGUACUUGCGCCGCGAGGCCAUCCUCGGGGAAGGCGUAUCUGUCAUUCAGUUGAUGGGUACGAGGACUCCGUCAUUUACUGUGAGCAAAAUAGAGUGUUCAAAGCAGGCUUACGCCGUUGAAUACAUUAGCAUGGAAUAAUAAGAUAGGACUCUGGUCUAUUUUGUUGGUUAGUACUCCAGGGUA